Tigriopus californicus is the source of this 934-nucleotide long non-coding RNA. RefSeq lists it as uncharacterized. NCBI's taxonomy places the organism in Eukaryota, Metazoa, Arthropoda, Copepoda, Harpacticoida, Harpacticidae. The record is from RefSeq and is a predicted model, not a curated record. The transcript has 3 exons.
AAAUGACAUCCCAUUUUUUAAAAUGUCUAAUCCCAUCAUCAAACGCUUCAAACGCAUAGCAUGGUUGUCAUUAGGGGUCGAAAGAAAUAGUAUUUUGGUUAGAAUAAGUUUAGAUCUAUUUUGGCCAUUUUGAGGCAAAUAACGUUGUUGCGAAUCUUAACCCUAAAAUAAUCUGAAACGGAGAAUUAGGGGAGAAAUUCAAAGGCUUGUGUCACAUUUAGGCAAAAUUUAGAAAAACUACAUUCAAAAUUAUAUUCUUUACGUAUUAUUUAAACCUUCUCUUCCUUAGAAUGGCUGUGCUAGUUGGCACUGAUGAGCAACUAAAAUCUAAAGGUGUACAAUACUUUCUUUCCGUGAACUUUACCAACCUUUUAAGUUCAAUUUGUCCAAGAGCUUGGUUUCAGGAGCCUUCAAAAUUCGAAUCUCACAUAUAAGUCGUAGAUAUGAGGUUGCAUUGAAAUUCAUUUUUUUCGUUGAUUCAAGAAAGGACGAUGUCUCUCAAUUCAAAGAGCAAGAAUUUUAUGAAGAACAACAAUUCAAGCAGGUUUUGCCUUGCCAAAAUAUUUGAAAGAGAAAGGCGCAAAGAAAUUACCGUCGCUUUUUAAAAUUUCUUUUUUCGUUUUCGGAACUCGUGACUGACGACAAACUAUUUUGACAAUAAUCGGACACAAUUUUUCCGAGUCCAGAUCAUCUUAGUAUGAGAGCAUCUAUCAAAAGCACUAGAAUGUUUUCCAAUGAGAAAAAUUAGAAGGACUUUCGUUGAUAUUGCACUUUGGCUCCAGUCGAGUCCAAAUAUGAUGGCCAAUAUAUUUCAGUAAGCAACCCUUCAAUGUGGCAAUGGGGUCAAAAAGAAGUACCCUUUCAUCCUCCACAUCGUGUCUUUCAAUAUUCCUCUGUAGAUGAUGUGAAUGAUAUGGACACUUACUGACUCAAU